Long non-coding RNA from Brassica rapa (field mustard), 3963 nucleotides. RefSeq lists it as uncharacterized. Lineage: Eukaryota; Viridiplantae; Streptophyta; Magnoliopsida; Brassicales; Brassicaceae. The record is from RefSeq and is a predicted model, not a curated record.
AUUCACCAAAUAAUAUAAUAAAAUUAAUAUAAAUGUCAAAUUUCUUAAAAAAUAACAAUUAAUGUAUAUACAAUAAAAUCAAAUAUUUUUCUUAUCUUAAAAUAAAUAUAUCUUAAAAUAAAAAAAUCUAAAUAAGAAAUUUUUUGUAAAUUAAGAAAAUUUCAAAGUUUCAACAUUAUUAAUUUAUAGAGGUUCUAAUGUAUGUUACAAAAAGAGACAUUUUUACUAUAUGUAAAUAUCACAACUUUAUGUUUUCUUUGAAUGUUUAAGAAAGAAUCUAGUGAUAUAAAGUUACAAACAAAAAAAAGAAAGAAUCUAGUGAUAUAUGCGUGACAAUUACUAAAAUACAAUAAAUGUAAGCAUUUCCAAUUUUCACUAGUUAAUGCUCAUUAAUGAGAAACUCUAAAAUUUCCAAAAUUAUCUAACUUACCCACAGAAAUGUAAUCUCAGUGUGGACAAUACAGUAUAAAUAUAUGAGCGCAAUUGACUAGUAGGUAAAAGAAGAAGAGGAGAAAAAUUAGAAAGACCCAAAGGCUUGGUUGUUUGAUCAAGAAAAAAUGGAAACAGGUUUCAUCCUAACCAUCGUCUUUGUGGCGCUCUUCAUCAUUUCAGCUAUUGUAGCUUGCUGGGUUUGCGCCCCAAAACUCAUCAAACGGUUUGGGAGCGAUCCAGCAUAACUAUUAGUAUCUUGUUACCAGUUAAAUUAGCUGUCUUUUUUGUUAUUUUAUUGAUUAAAUAGCAGAUCGAUGCUGCGACUCUGCAAAAUUUAUCGUUUAUCCUUCCAUUUAAAAAUGUUUUCGCUUAAUGAUAUUGUAGCUCUAUUAUAUUUUUCAUAAAUGAAUUAUUGAUUUUUAUAUAUUGCUGUGUUAUAUAUUACUAGUACAUCUUUAUCAUCAACCCAGCCGUUGAGAAAUCACAAAAACAACACUCUAGUUUAUACACUCAAAUAGAAUAUUCAAAUUCAAAAACCACUAGCUAUGUGCAAUUGUGCAUACAUUUACCAUCAUCUCCAAAAAGAGGUCAUGAGGGAUGUCAAUAGUGUCAACUGUCAAGCCUGCCUACAAGGCUACAAAUCAGUAGAUGACCUUAUGACAUGAUAAAAAGUUCGCUAUCUUCUUCUUUAGAUCUAGUGCAAUCGCAUGAUUUAAUAGGAGUAUAUCCAGCGAUCGAACUACUUUUCUUCCCUCGAUCUCUCUAAAUGCUGAUGACACACCCUCUCAUGAUCGUAUCUGGACGGAUAAUUUGAGAUCCAACAAAUAUAACAUCAUAAGUGUCCAUAAGAUGAGUAAGAAUUCAACUAAAGAGUUAGUGAUUUGUGGAUACUGCGGUAUUUACCAUACCAUCAAGAGAGCAGCAGGUUCAACAUUCAUGAUAUUGUCUCUUCUUUCAUCGAGGAAUUCAGCGACUGAGGAUACGAAAUCAAACACACUAACCAUCUCAAAAUGUCUACUGAGACAAGUUUUAAACAUGAACAUACUAAAAAAGCAAAAACGACAAGAUAAACUUUUAAAGCCUUACUGAUAGUCAAUGAGUCAUAAGUAACUAGCAAGCACACACAUAAAGAAGAAAGUCGAGACUUCAACGAGUACAUGCCCGUUCAAACGCGAAGGGACCAACAGAGUAUAAAACGUAGUCGGUUCAGCUAUGUUGAUUGAUUUAGAAGGGACGGUGCUUGUCACCGUACCAGCCGCGGGACCGGGGUUCGUGGGCCAAGCCCGGCACGUGUGGAAAGCGUAGGUUGUGAGUUUAUUCGGAGCUAACAUGAAGAAGUAUCCGCUUUUGACCGCCUUUGUCUCCAUCGUUAUACCUGUCUUUGUGUUGUUGCAUGCAAGCUUUACAGUCGCUCCUGCAGUCGAAACCGUAUUUGUCAUACUUAUAAAUGAAGUGAAACCGUAUUUGAUCAUUAGUACUUCUAACACUAAUUUUUUCCCCGAAAAUUAGAUAGUUGCCGUCCUAUACUCAAAGCCAAAUAUAAAGGGAUUCUAGCAUGUCCACAUCAUCAAUUAUAUUUGGCCAAUAAGAACAUUUCAUUAAUCCAUUGGAUAACACGAGGCUCUACGCUUCUCGCUCUUCGUCUUCACCUUUCUUCACCAUCGUUUCAGUUCUCCCGAUCCAGAACUCCACUACAUCUCUAUCCAUCAAUUCCUUCUUUAUGAUUUCGAUUCCGUUUAGAUUGGUUAGGGUUUAGAUCUCGAUUUGCUCAAUUUGUUGUUCAUUUGCUUUUGUAGGUGGUUACAGUGAAAGUGUUAUUAGCUUAAACGAUGGAGAAGGUGUACGAAGAGCUAGACGAAGUCAAAGCCGCGAACGAGAAGCUCAGAGGAGACUUCAGAGCCAAAACGAAGCUUCUUGAGAACCUAAAGAAGGUUCAGAACAAGCAGUUGAUAGAGAUUCAAGAGGCGAGAUCUGUAAUCGAGAAGCAAGGUUAUGCCUUCAGAAACUCACUUAGGUCGGACUUUGUAAAUUGCAAUCAUGUGGCCGCUUUGCCUUCUGGAGUUUCCAGUGGAUUCGAUAGUUUCUUUUCAGCGUCAUAAUUCAAAUCUCCACUGAUGUUUCAUCUUAUUGGCUUAUUUAAGUGAUUUCUUAAUAAUCCACAUGACCAGUAAGCUCCAUGCAUGAUCAUCUCACGUCGACUCUGCUUUUUUUUUCUGAUUGGGGAUCCUUGAUUCUUGCUUUCUUAAUAAGAUAUUUUUUCUGAUAAUUCCUUUUUCCGUCACAAACGAAAUGGGAACACAUUGAUAAUAUAACCUCCACCCGUGUUCUUUCUUAUAUAAUUGGUGUGAUCUAAUAUUUUAACAAGCUUCAGUCUUGAUUAAUUUGUGUUUUUGGUUUUUCACAAGGAAGGUAUGGUGAUGGAGAAUGAGUAAUACGACACCUUAACAGUCAAAACUGAUACUUCCGAAGCUAACACUAAAAAGACAAGCAAGGACAGUUCAUCGGAGAUUCUCAAGCUACUACAAAAUUUCAGUUCUGUUUUUUGGUUCAAGGUGAUGGGAUCAGUCCUUGCGAUUAAACAUAUUACUCACAUUUUUCCUGAGCGAGAGUAUAUGAUUGGGUAAUUGAUGUCUCUUGGUUUUUGCAAGUGUUCAAGAAUUCCUGGUGUUCUCUUUGACCUUAUGUUGAUUUAGAGUACAAAAAAUACAGAGGUAAUUACUUUUCUAUUAUCUGCUUGAGGGCUUUGUCUUCGUCAUUUACUUAUUGCCGUUAGCGUUAAAAAGAAGUUUGUGUCAUGUUUGUUGCUUUUAUAUGGCUUGCAAGUUUUGUCUGAAUGACCAGGUGAAGAGAGAGAGAAGCGUCGGUCGCGCUACGUCGGUGCCGCCAUUAGAGAGAAACUGUUUUUAUUGGCAGCAGAGCAGACAAGAAACAACAUGGAGAGUAAUAAUGAAGUCUAUGCUAUGUUAGAAGGUUUGAAUUGUUGGACAUGGUGGUGAUGCACGAAGUGUUAUUGUGGGCACAAGGAAGGGCUUGUGAGGAACAUAUACUUCCCGUUUGACAUAGAAAGCGACACGGCAAUUAGCGUUGCAAGAGAGAUGGUGGAAGAGCUGGAGAUGGACGACCGUGAUGUGACAAAGAUAGCUAACAUGAUCGAUGGAGAGAUUGCUUCUCUGGUUCCUGAUUGGAGAUCAGGCCUAGGGUUUGAGAGCAGUUUUUGCAACUGCGCCUCGAACCAGUCAGCUAUAGACUUCAACGUGAGGCAGUGUUGUACAAACAUGUGUGGAGAGAAGCAUGGACGGUUUGAGGAGAUCACUUUGGGACUACACAACUUUGGCAAAGCUUUAUAUUCCCAUGGAAAAAUGACAUUUUUGCUGUCUUUUGUUAAUAUGUGUAGAAUUUUUUACAGUAAUGUUGACAAACCAAGAAAUAUCACAGUAAUUAUUUAAUCAUAGCUCAUUAGGCCGGUGACUGUCUUGAAAUCAGUUUAUCAUUCUCAAUUUUGAAAAAUAAACAAAAAGACAUUCUUUUUUA